GCAUCGGUGGUGUAGUGGUAGUAGCACGCGUUCCUGGUAUGGACAAAACGCGGGUUCAAUUUCGCCUGAGGCC
Parelaphostrongylus tenuis is the source of this 73-nucleotide non-coding RNA. The record is from the annotation of a GenBank genome assembly. Lineage: Eukaryota; Metazoa; Nematoda; Chromadorea; Rhabditida; Metastrongylidae.